RNAcentral lists this ribosomal RNA (301 nucleotides) under uncultured bacterium. Its description in RNAcentral is "partial 16S ribosomal RNA". It matches the Rfam family "Bacterial small subunit ribosomal RNA", at positions 509 to 809 of the family's 1533-position model. The record is from RNAcentral.
CAGUAGCCGCGGGAAUACGAAGGGGGCUAGCGUUGUUCGGAAUCACUGGGCGUAAAGCGCACGUAGGCGGAUGGUUAAGUCAGGGGUGAAAGCCUGGAGCUCAACUCCAGAACUGCCUUUGAUACUGGCCAUCUCGAGUCCGGAAGAGGUAAGUGGAACUGCGAGUGUAGAGGUGAAAUUCGUAGAUAUUCGCAAGAACACCAGUGGCGAAGGCGGCUUACUGGUCCGGUACUGACGCUGAGGUGCGAAAGCGUGGGGAGCAAACAGGAUUAGAUACCCGGGUAGUCCCUGUCUCUUAUAA